GUGCUGGCUUCAGCAGUACAUAUACUAAAAUUGGACCAUACAGAGAAGAUUAGCAUGGGCUCUGUGCAAGGAUGUCAUGAAAAUUCAUGAAUUGUUUCAUAUUUUU
Small nuclear RNA from Ictidomys tridecemlineatus (thirteen-lined ground squirrel), 106 nucleotides. NCBI's taxonomy places the organism in Eukaryota, Metazoa, Chordata, Mammalia, Rodentia, Sciuridae. The record is from Ensembl.